Molecule: long non-coding RNA, 1156 nt
Filed under: Marmota monax (woodchuck)
Lineage: Eukaryota; Metazoa; Chordata; Mammalia; Rodentia; Sciuridae
Source: RNAcentral
ACUACCAUUGGCUAAAUUAUCACUGGGAUAACAUUUAAUACCUGUUUGUAAAAAUGAUGACCUUGAAAAUAUCUUGAUUUUAUAUUUAUAAAGACUGUCCUGCUUAUUUUUAAAAAUUUUGAAACACAGAAAAUAAAAAACUUAAGGUUUCUAGUUAUUCCACUCCCCAAUAAACAUUGUUCGAGAGUUUGGUUUAUAUCCUUCAAGAAAUUUUUUUAUCUAUAUAGGCAUACAUAUACAUAUCUAAAAGUGUAACUCCUAGAAUCCCAGGUUCCCCAGGAUAUUGGGGUCACCUUUUAUAUUAGUCUAUAAAUAAAAUACCUUGAGUCCCAUCCUAAGUGGUUUUGAGAAUCUAGCAUUUUCUCCAGUUGUUUUAACAAUUCUAAGGAGGAUGCUAACAUAGUGGUUGUUGAUUACCUAUUGCUUUGGAUUCUGUCCCAAGUUUAUUUGCUUAUUGGUUUGUCUUGCCUCCUCCUUAUCCUGCUGACGUGCUAGUUUUUCUAACAUCUAGAUAACACCUCUUCUUUUUUUUUUUUCUAGUGACUUCUUAGGUACUAUUAAGUGAAACUGAAAUUUACCGAAUGUUUGGGAUUUUGAGAGAAGAUGAAAGAAUUGACUCUUGCAGGUAUUAUGCUUCAUAUUUAACUUCUGCUUGUUUGUUUUUCAUGGUCCUAAGAAAUUAUUAUACUCACUAUUGUGAUACAUAUCAUCUUUAAUGGCUACAUUCAUAAUAUGCUUGGUAGAGGCCAAAAAUUGUGCUAAGAAUUUUUCACACAUGCCUUAUUAGAUCUUCACAACAACCCUAGGAAUUAGAUAUUAUUACAACUGUUACUUUGCAGAUAGUAAACUAAGGCUAAGAACAGCUAACUUAUCCAUGCUCAUUCAGCUAACUAAAGGGUAGAGACAUUUUAAACCCAAACAACCUGAAGUUCCAUAUUCCCACUAUGUUAUUCUGCCCCUUGCCUUCAUGAUUAUCAUAAAUGCUGCUGAUCCGAGUGAUUAUUAAUGGGGUUCACAAAAACCAGUCCCACUCGGAUCACUUCCUGUCUGGUAGCUACAUUCUAAACUCUUAAUUGCAUACCAUUGCUAUGGUUUGGAUGAUGGUUUCCCCUCCAAAAUUCAUGUUGAAACUUAAGCUCCCGUGUAAGAGCAUUAC